Molecule: ribosomal RNA, 774 nt
Filed under: uncultured prokaryote
Description: bacterial SSU rRNA
Rfam family: Bacterial small subunit ribosomal RNA
Source: RNAcentral
GAUGAACGCUGACAGAAUGCUUAACACAUGCAAGUCGAUUCGAUUUACCUUCGGGUAUUGAGGAUGGCGGACGGGUGAGUAACGCGUAAGGAACUUGCCUCUUGGUCUGGGACAACUGUUGGAAACGACAGCUAAUACCGGAUAUUAUGAGAUUCUCGCAUGGGAAACUUAUGAAAGCUAUAUGCGCCAAGAGAGAGCCUUGCGUUCCAUUAGCUAGUUGGUGGGGUAACGGCCCACCAAGGCGACGAUGGAUAGCCGGCCUGAGAGGGUGAACAGCCACAAGGGGACUGAGACACGGCCCUUACUCCUACGGGAGGCAGCAGUGGGGAAUAUUGGACAAUGGGCCACAAGCCUGAUCCAGCAAUUCUGUGUGCACGAUGAAGGUCUUCGGAUUGUAAAGUGCUUUCAGUUGGGAAGAAGAAAGUGACGGUACCAACAGAAGAAGCGACGGCUAAAUACGUGCCAGCAGCCGCGGUAAUACGUAUGUCGCAAGCGUUAUCCGGAUUUAUUGGGCGUAAAGCGCGUCUAGGCGGAAAAAUAAGUCUGAUGUUAAAAUGCGGGGCUCAACUCCGUAUUGCGUUGGAAACUGUUUUUCUAGAGUACUGGAGAGGUGGNNGGAACUACAAGUGUAGAGGUGAAAUUCGUAGAUAUUUGUAGGAAUGCCGAUGGAGAAGUCAGCUCACUGGACAGAUACUGACGCUAAAGGGCGAAAGCGUGGGGAGCAAACAGGAUUAGAUACCCUGGUAGUCCACGCCGUAAACNAUGAUCACUAGG